CGACCGGCGCACGGGUGAGUAACGCGUGGGUAACCUGCCUCAUACAGGGGGAUAACAGUUGGAAACGGCUGCUAAUACCGCAUAAGCGCACAGUACCGCAUGGUACCGUGUGAAAAACUCCGGUGGUAUGAGAUGGACCCGCGUCUGAUUAGCUAGUUGGUGGGGUAACGGCCUACCAAGGCAACGAUCAGUAGCCGACCUGAGAGGGUGACCGGCCACAUUGGGACUGAGACACGGCCCAAACUCCUACGGGAGGCAGCAUG
This 263-nucleotide ribosomal RNA is filed under the name uncultured bacterium. Its description in RNAcentral is "partial 16S ribosomal RNA". It matches the Rfam family "Bacterial small subunit ribosomal RNA", at positions 92 to 353 of the family's 1533-position model. The record is from RNAcentral.